CAGUGGCGCACAGUGUUGUCGGGUGUUUUCUAACAGGAGUCAUGGCGAAACACAGCCGGCAAUGGCACUCUGAGGAGUGUGGAGCAUUGAGACAAAGCAGGAAACUACCCUCUGGUGAGCUCGUCGGUGCAUCGGUUACCGGGGCAACCGUCACUGGAUGAUGACCUGAUGUCACACUGGCAUUUAUUACCUCCACCAAGGGGGAUAUUUCUUCAUCCCUGUCGGUGGUGCAGGCUUAAAUACAACUUAGAUUUGGGCGCAUGAGGAAACGAAGAAUCCAUUAGAUCUUAGAACAAGGCCGAAAGGAAUGACCUUGGGUAAUGAACCACUGCUGCUGCACAAAAUCUAAUGAUAAAGACAUUCCUGUCUGAUCAUAUGUUUGAAAGCUUUUUUUUUUCCUUCUUCUAAUUUUUAUGUUUUAUUCCUCAGUGACAAAACUAAAGUAGUUCACAAACAGGGGCAUUUGUUCCCAAAUGGCUGAUGUCAAAUCAGUACAUUCGUGUUCACUUUCACUGCUAAAAGUCAUCUUCAUAUCAAGGAAAAAUAAAAAAUAUCAGGUCAUGUUCCCAAAAUAGUGGAGAUGUCCAAGGUGAAAUGUAAAAAAACAUUUCUCUAGUUUUCCUUGUCAACCAGCUUCAUUUUUUAAAUCCACUGCAUUUUUAGAUAUUAUUCUUUCACAGCAUGAAGAAUGUUUCAUAUUUUCCUUGCGUACAAUUAAAUAUAUAUUUUUUGUGUGACAAUGUGAGAGCAAAAAUCUUGACAUUUUAAAAGGCUUUGCAACAUUGACAUGAACACGAGACCACCAUCUGAAGGCCAUUUCUGAUAGAUUGUGCAGGAGGAGGUCUUAGUUUUGAACAGCACCUGUCACACAUGCCCCGACUCCCACUUUCUCCUCCUGCUUUCCCUUCCAUUCCUCCACUUUCAGAAAGUGACAUUUUGAUAGCGAGCAUCGCCAUUGUCCGUGUUCUGGUCUGCUGAUUCUACAUGCAGCCCGGCUGGCAAUUUGCAUCGCCUCAAAGAACCCCCACGUCCCCCACGUCGCCCUCGUCAAGGACCCGUCGCCCCAAUCGCUGUGUCAUGCACCUUCAAGCUCCGUUUUACACUGCAGGAGCUGCCCAGCAAUUGGAUCGAGGAUGUAGAUCCUUUUUAGAGAAAAGCACAUUUCGGUGUCUGGUAUGCUCAGUUGGCCCAUUAUCAAGGCUCGCCACAUGCUUCCAGUUCACACACAAACACACUUGCUUUACUGUGAACUCAAGACCCUGCUGAGUUGUUCACAUUGUGUUUAUAUCAGAAGGAACAGUGUGACAUGCGAGAGCAUCCAGUGCAAGACAUCUGGAUCGACCAUGCUGAAUUUGCAGAGAUAAUGUUGAUUGCUGUGGUUGUGGAGGUAUUUUUCAUACAGUCAUAUCUUGUUUUUCCAAUGUCUCAGUUCUCGACCAAAUCGGUUUUCAACCAGAAGAUUCGAGAUUUUUACGACUCGGAUUACAACCCAAAGCCGGUUUUCGACCAAACUGAGCAAACCCAAAUACGCCACUUGACUCCUCUCGACUUCCUUACACGAGUAGCAUUUAUUGUAAGCACUCUUGCAAGGGAUGCAUUUUUGUCCACACAUGUGGAUGCCAGGUCGUAGGAGGCCCCUAAUCAUGGGGCGAAUAAGUUAGUUUUGGAUUUCAAACAAAUCGCUUUUCAAACAGCCUUCUGGGACGGAUUAUGGUCGAAAACCGAGGUAUGACUGUAUAUGAAAAAAAAAACAUGUUGGAAACGCAAUUGUAAGGAACACAACUAGUUAGCAGACAUCUGAGAGUCCGCUUUUACUCUCGAUCUCCUGUGUGUAGCAUAUCGACGCUGUCGGGCAUAAUCCUCGCAUCUCCAAAAUGACUAAUAUCCAGGAAAAUAAUAAUAAUACGAAGCCACCUUACUUGA
Long non-coding RNA from Hippocampus zosterae (dwarf seahorse), 1923 nucleotides. RefSeq lists it as uncharacterized. The transcript has 2 exons. The record is from RefSeq and is a predicted model, not a curated record. NCBI's taxonomy places the organism in Eukaryota, Metazoa, Chordata, Actinopteri, Syngnathiformes, Syngnathidae.